This 162-nucleotide small nuclear RNA is filed under the name Microtus ochrogaster (prairie vole). RNAcentral describes it as "U1 spliceosomal RNA (ENSMOCG00000005407.1)". It matches the Rfam family "U1 spliceosomal RNA". From Rfam's summary of the family: U1 is a small nuclear RNA (snRNA) component of the spliceosome (involved in pre-mRNA splicing). Its 5' end forms complementary base pairs with the 5' splice junction, thus defining the 5' donor site of an intron. The record is from RNAcentral. Lineage: Eukaryota; Metazoa; Chordata; Mammalia; Rodentia; Cricetidae.
ACACUUACUUGAAGGGGAGAGUUACCAUGAUUAUGAAGGUGAUUAUCUCAGGAUGGAGCUCAUCUGUUGCACCCUGGUUGUGCUGUCUCCUGUGAUUUUCUCAAAUGUGGAAAACUUGACUGCAUAAUUUGUGGUAGUGGUGAAAUAUGUUCUUGCUCCCCU